CAGAUCGUUGGGUAUUCCCAUUUGUCCUCGUCGGACACAGAUGAAACUCUAUUUCAAAUUCUCUUUGGUACUUUAAAAGCAGAGUUAGGAAAAAGAGGUGCAAAAUUAAGCGGGUCGAAAUUACGAAGACUUUAGUUUUUUACUGUGUGGUGUUAGAAAUGGUAUGUAUCAAAUACUACGAUUUGCAAUCAAAACUUUGUCGCGCCCAUAAUAUCAAUAACAAUGAGUUUGACAGCCUUACUCACCAGUGGCGGCAACUCGAGAGCACCAAAAAUUGAGGUAAGCAAUUGAGGUUAUAACAAAACUUGAGGUAAACAAUUGAGGUUAUAGCUAAACUUGAGGUAAGCAAUUGAGGUUAUAACUAAACUUGAGGUAAAAAAUUGAGGUUAUAACUAAAACUUGAGGUAAGCAAUUGAGGUUAUAACUAAAACUUGAGGUAAGCAAUUGAGGUUAUAACUAAAACUUGAGGUUA
Long non-coding RNA from Cydia pomonella (codling moth), 472 nucleotides. RefSeq lists it as uncharacterized. The record is from RefSeq and is a predicted model, not a curated record. The transcript is spliced from 3 exons. Lineage: Eukaryota; Metazoa; Arthropoda; Insecta; Lepidoptera; Tortricidae.